GUGCCAGCCGCCGCGGUAAUACAGAGGGUGCUAACGUUGUUCGGAAUCACUGGGCAUAAAGCGCACGUAGGCGGCCCGUCAAGUGCGGUGUGAAAUCCCACGGCUUACCCGUGGAAAUGCGCUGCAGACUGACGGGCUCGAGGACGGUAGGGGAGAGCGGAACUCCUGGUGGAGCGGUGAAAUGCGUAGAUAUCAGGAGGAACACCGGUGGCGAAGGCGGCUCUCUGGUCCGUUUCUGACGCUGAGGUGCGAAAGCCAGGGGAGCAAACGGGAUUAGAUACCCCCGUAGUCC
Molecule: ribosomal RNA, 292 nt
Filed under: uncultured bacterium
Lineage: Bacteria
Description: partial 16S ribosomal RNA
Rfam family: Bacterial small subunit ribosomal RNA
Source: RNAcentral